CCUCUGGGAGUGUGUACUUAUGGAUGUUCGAGGCAUUUUUUGUGAGGCUGCCUCUCUGCCAUUAAGUUGGUGGGUUGGUGGGCUUGCAUCGUUUACUGUGAAAAAAUUAGAGUGUUUAAAGCAGGCGUUUGCUCAUUUGAAUACAUUAGCAUGGAAUAAUAAGAUACGGCCUUGGUGGUCUAUUUUGUUGGUUUGCACACCAGGGUAAUGAUUAAUAGGGACAGUUGGGGGUAUUCAUAUUUCAGCGUCAGAGGUGAAAUUCUUGGAUCGCUGAAAGAUGAGCUUAGGCGAAAGCAUUUACCAAGGAUGUUUUCAUUAAUCAAGAACGAAAGUUAGGGGAUCGAAGAUGAUUAGAUACCAUCGUAGUCUUAACCAUAAACUAUGCCGACUCGGG
Molecule: ribosomal RNA, 394 nt
Filed under: Phytophthora ramorum (sudden oak death agent)
Lineage: Eukaryota; Oomycota; Peronosporomycetes; Peronosporales; Peronosporaceae
Description: SSU rRNA
Rfam family: Eukaryotic small subunit ribosomal RNA
Source: RNAcentral